CCCUUAGAUGUUCUGGGCCGCACGCGUGCUACACUGAGUGGAUCAGCGGGUCAGGUUGCGCGAAAGUGUUUCCUAAUCUUGAAAUCCGCUCGUGAUGGGGAUUGACGGUUGCAAUUUUCCGUCAUGAACGAGGAAUACCUUGUAAGCGCGGGUCAUCAUCCCGCGCUGAAUACGUCCCUGCCCUUUGUACACACCGCCCGUCGCUCCUACCGAUUGAGUGGUCCGGUGAGGCUUUGGGAUCUGAGCGGAAAGAGCGUUUCGCUUUUUCUGCUCGGAAAACUCAGUCGAACCUUAUCAUUUAGAGGAAGGAGAAGUCGUAACA
RNAcentral lists this ribosomal RNA (322 nucleotides) under uncultured eukaryote. RNAcentral describes it as "partial 18S ribosomal RNA". It matches the Rfam family "Eukaryotic small subunit ribosomal RNA", at positions 1470 to 1796 of the family's 1831-position model. The record is from RNAcentral.